UGGGGAAUAUUGCGCAAUGGGGGAAACCCUGACGCAGCGACGCCGCGUGAAGGAAGAAGGCCUUCGGGUUGUAAACUUCUUUGGUGAGGGACGAAGUAAGUGACGGUACCUCAGGAACAAGCCACGGCUAACUACGUGCCAGCAGCCGCGGUAAUACGUAGGUGGCGAGCGUUAUCCGGAAUUACUGGGUGUAAAGGGCGCGUAGGCGGGGAUGCAAGUCAGAUGUGAAAUACCGGUGCUUAACACCGGGGCUGCAUCUGAAACUGUGUUUCUUGAGUGUCGGAGAGGGAAGCGGAAUUCCCAGUGUAGCGGUGAAAUGCGUAGAUAUUGGGAGGAACACCAGUGGCGAAGGCGGCUUUCUGGACGACAACUGACGCUGAGGCGCGAAAGCGUGGGGAGCAAACAGG
RNAcentral lists this ribosomal RNA (407 nucleotides) under uncultured bacterium. RNAcentral's name for it is "bacterial SSU rRNA". It matches the Rfam family "Bacterial small subunit ribosomal RNA", at positions 355 to 776 of the family's 1533-position model. The record is from RNAcentral.